This 404-nucleotide ribosomal RNA is filed under the name uncultured bacterium. RNAcentral describes it as "bacterial SSU rRNA". It matches the Rfam family "Bacterial small subunit ribosomal RNA", at positions 362 to 758 of the family's 1533-position model. The record is from RNAcentral.
UUUUGGACAAUGGGCGCAAGCCUGAUCCAGCCAUGCCGCGUGAGUGAAGAAGGCCUUCGGGUUGUAAAGCUCUUUCGGCGGGGACGAAACGGUUCGUGCUAAUACCACGGACUACUGACGGUACCCGCAGAAGAAGCACCGGCUAACUACGUGCCAGCAGCCGCGGUAAUACGUAGGGUGCAGGCGUUAAUCGGAAUUACUGGGCGUAAAGCGUGCGCAGGCGGUUUGUUAAGACAGGUGUGAAAUCCCCGGGCUUAACCUGGGAAUUGCGCUUGUAACUGGCAGACUGGAGUGUGGUAGAGGGGGGUGGAAUUCCAAGUGUAGCAGUGAAAUGCGUAGAUAUUUGGAGGAACACCGAUGGCGAAGGCAGCCCCCUGGGCUAACACUGACGCUUAUGCACGAAA